This 267-nucleotide long non-coding RNA is filed under the name Trifolium pratense (red clover). RNAcentral's name for it is "long non-coding RNA (TPRA_LNC005459)". The record is from RNAcentral. Lineage: Eukaryota; Viridiplantae; Streptophyta; Magnoliopsida; Fabales; Fabaceae.
GAAUGAAAGAUGAAAGUGGAGAACGUGGGUCGACGUGGCAGAUCGAGGAGCGUCCAGAUGAUCAAGAAGCAGUUACCACUUCGUUGUAGUAUUUAUAGCAGUUUUUCAUUCAGAACAAAGGUCACAAAAUUUUAUACAAACACUCUCUCUAAAAUUCUAAGUACUCAGCGAUCGAACGAAAGGAAUUCAGAGGAGAAAUGUAUGUUUUGUAAACCAUCUUUAUUUGUAAUUGCUUUUCAUUCAAUGCAAUUUACUUUCCAGCAAUUU